GGUCCUAUAGUUUAGUGGUAGAACACCUGGUUUUGAUUAAGUACUGGAUGUCCAGUUCCUGACUCCAGGCAACCUGGGUUCGAACCCCAGUGGGACCU
Transfer RNA from Rhodotorula sp. JG-1b, 98 nucleotides. It matches the Rfam family "tRNA". From Rfam's summary of the family: Transfer RNA (tRNA) molecules are approximately 80 nucleotides in length. Their secondary structure includes four short double-helical elements and three loops (D, anti-codon, and T loops). NCBI's taxonomy places the organism in Eukaryota, Fungi, Basidiomycota, Microbotryomycetes, Sporidiobolales, Sporidiobolaceae. The record is from Rfam.